CGAAGCUUUUUCCUCUCCGAAAAUGGCUAUUCAAUUUUGUUGAAGAAGAAAACAAGAAGAAAAUGUUUCAUUUAACCUUUAAUUUAAUUUAAUCUUUGCUUAUUUACAAAAUUGUCAUUAUCUUUUAAUUUUUAAUUAAAAUUUCAUACAUUUAAUCAUGUAAUCGUCCAUUUCUAUUCCCCAAUGAUAUAAUUACCAUAUUAGUCCCU
This 209-nucleotide long non-coding RNA is filed under the name Gossypium barbadense (sea-island cotton). Its description in RNAcentral is "long non-coding RNA (GBAR_LNC016955)". The record is from RNAcentral. Lineage: Eukaryota; Viridiplantae; Streptophyta; Magnoliopsida; Malvales; Malvaceae.